This 497-nucleotide ribosomal RNA is filed under the name uncultured bacterium. RNAcentral's name for it is "partial 16S ribosomal RNA". It matches the Rfam family "Bacterial small subunit ribosomal RNA", at positions 28 to 507 of the family's 1533-position model. The record is from RNAcentral.
GAUGAACGCUGGCGGCGUGCCUAAUACAUGCAAGUCGAGCGAACGGACGAGAAGCUUGCUUCUCUGAUGUUAGCGGCGGACGGGUGAGUAACACGUGGAUAACCUACCUAUAAGACUGGGAUAACUUCGGGAAACCGUAGCUAAUACCGGAUAAUAUUUUGAACCGCAUGGUUCAAAAGUGAAAGACGGUCUUGCUGUCACUUAUAGAUGGAUCCGCGCUGCAUUAGCUAGUUGGUAAGGUAACGGCUUACCAAGGCAACGAUGCAUAGCCGACCUGUGAGGGAGAUCGUGUGCGCUUAAACUGAGGCAGCGGCCAGAAUCCUAAGGGAGGCCGCAGUAGGGAAUACUCCGCGAUGGGCGAUAGGCUGACGGAGCAACGCUGCGUGAAUGUUUCAGGCCUUCGUAUCGUAAAACUAUGCUAUCAGUGAAGAACAUAUGCGUAAGUAACUGUGCACAACUUGACGGUACCUAAUCAGAAAGCCACGGCUAACUACGUG